RNAcentral lists this non-coding RNA (23 nucleotides) under Arabidopsis thaliana (thale cress). Lineage: Eukaryota; Viridiplantae; Streptophyta; Magnoliopsida; Brassicales; Brassicaceae. The record is from RNAcentral.
ACUCAUAGGAUCAUGCCACGUGU